AUGCCGCAGCUGCCGGACGAGCUCGUGGAGGAGGUCUUCCUCCGCCUCCCGCCGGACGAGCCCGCGGCGCUCGUGCGGGCCUCCCUCGCCAGCAAGCCCUGGCUCGCCCUCCUCACCGGCCCCGCCUUCCGCGGCCGCUACCGCGAGUUCCACGGCGCUCCCCCGAUGCUGGGCUUCCUCUACUCGCGGCUCGACGGCUCCGGCGCCCCACGCCUCGUCUCCACCUCCAAGUUCUGCGCGCGCAUUCCGGAUUUCACCGAGCCCACGCACCAACGGUUUGAUGCACGGGACUGCCGCCAUGGCCGUGUUCUUCUUGGGAACAAUGACUAUUGUACCCCGGUGCUCCUUGUUUGGGACCCCAUGACGGGCUGCACUCGGGAGCUGGACGGGUCUUGCUUGCCCGAUAGCUUCGAGCUCGCCGUGCUCUGCGCCGUGAGCGGCUGCGACCACCGCGCGUGUCACGCGGCCCCCUUCAGAGUGGUCUGCGUCGGCCUGAACUACAGUGAAGAGGGUGAGUGCGUUGCGGUCGCGUGUGUGUCCUCGCCGGACACAGGUGACUGGAGCAAACCGUGCCCUGAUUUUUGGUCUGAGUGGGAUGAGCGGUGCCCUGGUCUUGAUCUUGUUGCAGCAGCUGAUGCAUUCAUGCGGCCAAUGCCCUCUGUCCUCGUCAACGGCGCACUUCACUUCCUGCUUGGGUACGAAAAUGAUAAUGCCCGUGUAGGAAUUCUCAAGUACAGCUUGAGCUCUGAUUCGUUAUCGUUGAUUGAUGCGCCGCUUGUCGAGUCUGUUGUUUUUCAUGACCCUAUGCUCAUGGCAAUGAAGGAUGGCACUUUGGGGUUUGCACAUCUGGACAGGUUAAUUCUCUACGUUUGGUCCAGAAAAAUAGAUUCCGAUGGAGGUGCCUCAUGGGCUCGUGGUACAGUCGUGCAUCUCAAGUGCCUUCUCCCUAUGGAAGAUCCCAAGAGCGAACCUAUACUGAUUGGGUCUGUGGAGGGCGGUGAUAUCAUUUUCGUGAACACGGAUCUUGGCGUCUACCAGAUUGAUCUCAAGACACUAGAGUGUAAGGAGCUAAUGAAGGGACGAAACUUCUAUUCUUUGAUUCCGUACAUGAGCUUCUACAAUCCGCCAGAAAGGGUGAUCCCUGGUGAUGCGGCACGUCGAGAAUGCACGGUCGAGUAUGCAUGA
Molecule: ribosomal RNA, 1185 nt
Filed under: Triticum aestivum (bread wheat)
Lineage: Eukaryota; Viridiplantae; Streptophyta; Magnoliopsida; Poales; Poaceae
Description: partial small subunit ribosomal RNA
Source: RNAcentral